This 309-nucleotide ribosomal RNA is filed under the name Darevskia praticola. Its description in RNAcentral is "partial 12S ribosomal RNA". It matches the Rfam family "Bacterial small subunit ribosomal RNA", at positions 869 to 1344 of the family's 1533-position model. The record is from RNAcentral. Lineage: Eukaryota; Metazoa; Chordata; Lepidosauria; Squamata; Lacertidae.
CCGCCAGAGAACUACAAGUGAAAAACUUAAAACUCAAAGGACUUGACGGUGUCCCAUACCGACCUAGAGGAGCCUGUCCUAUAAUCGAUACCCCCCGCUCCACCCAACCCCAACUAGCACUCUCAGCCUAUAUACCGCCGUCGAUCAGCCUACCCUAUGAAAGUCCAACAGUAGACACAAUAGCCCCAUCGCUAGUACGUCAGGUCAAGGUGUAGCAAAUGUUGUGGAAGAGAUUGGCUACAUUUUUUAAUAUAAAAAAUACGAAAAAUACUAUGAAACAGUAUAUGAAGGUGAAUUUAGUAGUAAAAU